Molecule: ribosomal RNA, 253 nt
Filed under: uncultured Halomonas sp.
Lineage: Bacteria; Pseudomonadati; Pseudomonadota; Gammaproteobacteria; Oceanospirillales; Halomonadaceae
Description: partial 16S ribosomal RNA
Rfam family: Bacterial small subunit ribosomal RNA
Source: RNAcentral
UACGGAGGGUGCGAGCGUUAAUCGGAAUGACUGGGCGUAAAGCGCGCGUAGGCGGCCAAAUCAGCCGGUUGUGAAAGCCCCGGGCUCAACCUGGGAACGGCAUCCGGAACUGUUUGGCUAGAGUGCAGGAGAGGAAGGUAGAAUUCCCGGUGUAGCGGUGAAAUGCGUAGAGAUCGGGAGGAAUACCAGUGGCGAAGGCGGCCUUCUGGACUGACACUGACGCUGAGGUGCGAAAGCGUGGGUAGCAAACAGG